Cricetulus griseus (Chinese hamster) is the source of this 45-nucleotide non-coding RNA. NCBI's taxonomy places the organism in Eukaryota, Metazoa, Chordata, Mammalia, Rodentia, Cricetidae. The record is from Rfam.
CCAAAAGCUCUUUUUAGAGCCACUCAACAAUAAAUAAAGUUAAUU